Molecule: ribosomal RNA, 238 nt
Filed under: Clostridioides difficile
Lineage: Bacteria; Bacillati; Bacillota; Clostridia; Peptostreptococcales; Peptostreptococcaceae
Description: partial 23S ribosomal RNA
Rfam family: Bacterial large subunit ribosomal RNA
Source: RNAcentral
UGUCGGGUAAGUUCCGACCCGCACGAAAGGCGUAACGAUUUGGGCACUGUCUCAACAACAGACUCGGUGAAAUUGUAAUUCCGGUGAAGAUGCCGGAUACCUGCGACAGGCCGGAAAGACCCCAUGGGGCUUUACUGUAGCUUGACAUUGGGUCUUGGUACUACAUGUACAGGAUAGGUGGGAGGCUUUGAAACCAGGACGCCAGUUUUGGCGGAGCCAUCCUUGGGAUACCACCCUU